AUGACGUCACACAAAGGGACCUUUGUGGUCAAGUGAGGGGCGACUGCUCAUAGACCUGGUUACGCCCGGAGCAAGGUGACACUAGGCGAGCCGAGGGGAACACGAGCAGGAGGUUCUCUAUGUCCUACCUUAGAGAUGCCAUCUUCCUCGCCAUACGGAUGAAGUCGAAGUCCCUUAUUCCGAGUUUACCAAAUUAAACCCACUAUAAGAGCGGGUUCAAAGGCUGAGUUUAAGGCCGGAACUCCAGACUGGAUACUCAGGCCAUGACUGCUCAAGACUAACACGUUACGACCGCCUCUCAACGAAGAAGAAAGAAGGAUGGAGACAGAAAUCUUCAGAGAGUGUCAGAGUGUAAGAAGUUGUUUUUGUGUGUGUUGUUAUGUGAUUUAAUAUACAGUAUAAGGCAUGAUUAGCCCAGUUUAUAAUUCCUAUUCACAGUAGGAAGGGAGGAAGGGCUUAUAAAUGUCUUUGAUGGCACUGUUAUUGAUCGAUCCUCUGAAAAGCUAAGAACUUACAUUGAAAGAGAAGAUAUUUUGGAUAGAAUCGAGGAAAAAUACCUUACAGCUGAAGAAGAAUGUGAAUACCUUCUAUGCAAAUCCUUGAAUCAUUGUCAAACAAAUGAUCAUACAACCUAACAAAUAAAAAUAAAGUACCCUAUGUCAUUACAAAAUCUAAAAACCUUUUCAGAGUGAUUCGUACUCUAACGUUAGUUGGCAUCUUCAGCUGUAAGGUAAUUUUCCUCGAUUUUAUCUAACUGGCCAAUAACAGUACCAUCAAAGACAUUUUUUCAGUUGAUAAUCCCUUCCUCCAUCCACAAUGUUGAUUAUCUUAUAGGAUCCUUUCCAUUUUCGGUUAAGUUUCAUGGCAGUACCAGGAAUUGGCUCUAUAUACACCCAUGCCAAAUCACCAACUUUUAGAACAGUAUUUUUCCUACCCCUGUUUGCUCUAUCAAUAUAUUGCCUUGUGUUUCU
This 971-nucleotide long non-coding RNA is filed under the name Penaeus japonicus. RNAcentral describes it as "uncharacterized LOC122263800". Lineage: Eukaryota; Metazoa; Arthropoda; Malacostraca; Decapoda; Penaeidae. The record is from RNAcentral.